This 429-nucleotide ribosomal RNA is filed under the name Acidobacteriota bacterium. Its description in RNAcentral is "Acidobacteria bacterium partial 16S ribosomal RNA". It matches the Rfam family "Bacterial small subunit ribosomal RNA", at positions 355 to 776 of the family's 1533-position model. The record is from RNAcentral. Lineage: Bacteria; Pseudomonadati; Acidobacteriota.
UGGGGAAUUUUGGACAAUGGGGGAAACCCUGAUCCAGCCAUCCCGCGUGUGCGAUGAAGGCCUUCGGGUUGUAAAGCACUUUUGGCAGGAAAGAAACGUCAUGGGUUAAUACCCCGUGAAACUGACGGUACCUGCAGAAUAAGCACCGGCUAACUACGUGCCAGCAGCCGCGGUAAUACGUAGGGUGCAAGCGUUAAUCGGAAUUAUUGGGCGUAAAGCGUGCGCAGGCGGUUCGGAAAGAAAGAUGUGAAAUCCCAGAGCUCAACUUUGGAACUGCAUUUUUAACUACCGGGCUAGAGUGUGUCAGAGGGAGGUGGAAUUCCGCGUGUAGCAGUGAAAUGCGUAGAUAUGCGGAGGAACACCGAUGGCGAAGGCAGCCUCCUGGGAUAACACUGACGCUCAUGCACGAAAGCGUGGGGAGCAAACAGG